GCGGCCGCGUGCAAAUUGAGUGAUCUGGUCACCGUGUCAGCUAUGGUGGCUUGAAAGAAAUGCUUUGUAGCCCUUUAAAGGCAGGCUGAUCGGAAGAACUGGAAGACUGCAAAGAUAAAAAGGAACGCUGGCAGAGAAGGGGGGCGAGAGGUGCUGGAGGAAAAAAGCGAAAAAGAAAAUAACAGUGGUGAUGUCAAGACUUGUCAGAGAAACCUGCAUCGUCAGGCUGCAUAACUUCUUAAUCUUGGGAUGAGAAAACAAGCGUGUAUGUGUGUCUGGGGGUGUGAGGUGGGGCACUCACACGUUUCCUGAGCUAAUUUCAAUGCUUAUUCUUAUCUCUUCCAACAGACACUAAUUUAAACGUCAAACAGAGAAAAUAAUUCAAAGGAAUCCUUAUGCUGAGGGAACUGGACAGGCAGGAGACGGGAAAAUAUGAAGGCACCUUCGAUGUCCUCACAAACUGGAACCCGGAGGAAAAGCCAGAGCCAGUUCUGUGUGCCCGUGUGUGGAUGAGUCGGCGCGGUGUGCCUGCCUUGCUCCAGAAUAAGCCUCCAUGGGUUCCUAUGGCAGUGGACACAUCUGGUAAAGUUGUGUGGUAGGUUGAUCUGUGUUCUUUUACAAGAAGGGCUUGAGUUGCUUCCUGGGGGAGAACAUAUCCAGGCACAGUAGGGAGAAUAGGAACCAGGCCCACCAAGCCGACUCCUACAACCAGCUCCUAGUCACCAUAGAAGGCUGUUGAAGGUGCUGACAGCAGGAUGCCAGGCACUCCAGUACGUCUUUUGGCUGAGCACCCAA
Molecule: long non-coding RNA, 795 nt
Filed under: Aotus nancymaae (Ma's night monkey)
Lineage: Eukaryota; Metazoa; Chordata; Mammalia; Primates; Aotidae
Description: lncRNA (ENSANAG00000039435.1)
Source: RNAcentral